This 253-nucleotide ribosomal RNA is filed under the name uncultured bacterium. Its description in RNAcentral is "partial 16S ribosomal RNA". It matches the Rfam family "Bacterial small subunit ribosomal RNA", at positions 524 to 776 of the family's 1533-position model. The record is from RNAcentral.
UACGUAGGGGGCAAGCGUUGUCCGGAAUCACUGGGCUUAAAGCGUGUGUAGGCGGAUCGGUAAGUACCUUGUGAAAUCCCACAGCUUAACUGUGGAACUGCUUGGUAUACUGCCAGUCUUGAGCCAGCUAGGGGCUACCGGAACAAAUGGUGGAGCGGUGAAAUGCGUAGAUAUCAUUUGGAACGCCAAUGGUGAAAACAGGUAGCUGGGGCUGUGCUGACGCUGAGACACGAAAGCCAGGGGAGCGAACGGG